This is a small nuclear RNA of Schistocerca gregaria, 105 nucleotides long. The record is from RefSeq and is a predicted model, not a curated record. NCBI's taxonomy places the organism in Eukaryota, Metazoa, Arthropoda, Insecta, Orthoptera, Acrididae.
GGGUCAAUGAUGUACUUGCGUACUAAAAUUGGACCGAUACAGACAAGAUUAGCAUCGCCCCUAUGCAAGGAUGACACCCAAAAUCUUGACGUGUUUCACAGUAGC